AUUUAGAAUCAAUUAAUUCAACAUAUUUGAUAUUCAGUAUUUAGGGCAAUAUUCGGACGGACAUUCCACCGUUCCGACAAAGUGUGCUUCUUAAUUUCUAGAGGGACGUUUCUGUUCCCACGUACAAAUGAUAUCUGUACUGCACAGCCAUCACAUUUGCCUUCUCUAACAAGGAUUGGUAGAAGCCUGCGGUCCGUUUCUUAGAAGCAAUUACAGUAAUAUUUUCUUCUGUAUGAAGGUCGGCUUUUAAAAGUGCCACAAUUGUCACUAGAAAUUUAUUCUAAAUUUUACAUGUAAAUUCUCUCUCAUUAUUUUCUUACUAAUCUCAAACAAAGCUCAACUACAGAGUAUCUAUUCUCUUCAUAUUUAUAGGAGGAUAACGUUGUUCAUCAUUACUAAUUAACUACGCGAG
RNAcentral lists this small RNA (412 nucleotides) under Histoplasma capsulatum var. duboisii H88. Its description in RNAcentral is "Histoplasma capsulatum H88 hypothetical RNA". Lineage: Eukaryota; Fungi; Ascomycota; Eurotiomycetes; Onygenales; Ajellomycetaceae. The record is from RNAcentral.